AGGAUAAACGCUGGCGGCGUGCCUAACACAUGCAAGUCGAACGUCCUACGCAAGUAGGGAGUGGCGGACGGGUGAGUAACACGUGGGCAAUCUACCUUUCGGUGAGGAAUACCGGCGAGAAAUCGCCGACAAUACCGCAUACGCUUCGCAAGAAGCAAAGUCGCAAGACGCCGGAGGAGGAGCCUGCGCCCGAUUAGCUGGUUGGUGGAGUAAUGGUCUACCAAGGCGACGAUCGGUAGCUGGUCUGAGAGGAUGAUCAGCCACACUGGGAUUGAGAACGGCCCAGACUCCUACGGGGGGCAGCAGUGAGGAAUUUUCCGCAAUGGGCGAAAGCCUGACGGAGCAACGCCGCGUGAGUGAUGAAGACCUUCGGGUUGUAAAGCUCUGUCGGAGGGAAGAACACAAUGACGGUACCCUCCAAGAAAGCCCCGGCUAACUACGUGCCAGCAGCCGC
This 454-nucleotide ribosomal RNA is filed under the name uncultured bacterium. RNAcentral's name for it is "SSU rRNA". It matches the Rfam family "Bacterial small subunit ribosomal RNA", at positions 26 to 518 of the family's 1533-position model. The record is from RNAcentral.